UAGAAUGCUGAAUUCACUAUU
RNAcentral lists this non-coding RNA (21 nucleotides) under Caenorhabditis elegans. The record is from RNAcentral. Lineage: Eukaryota; Metazoa; Nematoda; Chromadorea; Rhabditida; Rhabditidae.